CCGAAACCAGGUGAUCUACCCAUGUCCAGGAUGAAGGUAAGGUAAUACUUACUGGAGGUCCGAACCCACGCACGUUGAAAAGUGCGGGGAUGAGGUGUGGGUAGCGGAGAAAUUCCAAUCGAACUUGGAGAUAGCUGGUUCUCUCCGAAAUAGCUUUAGGGCUAGCCUCGAGGUAAAGAGUCAUGGAGGUAGAGCACUGUUUGGACUAGGGGCCCUUCUCGGGUUACCGAAUUCAGAUAAACUCCGAAUGCCAUGUACUUAUACUCGGGAGUCAGACUGCGAGUGAUAAGAUCCGUAGUCGAAAGGGAAACAGCCCAGACCACCAGUUAAGGUCCCCAAAUAUAUGUUAAGUGGAAAAGGAUGUGGGGUUGCUUAGACAACCAGGAUGUUGGCUUAGAAGCAGCCACCAUUGAAAGAGUGCGUAAUAGCUCACUGGUCGAGUGACCCCGCGCCGAAAAUGUACCGGGGCUAAACAUAUUACCGAAACUGUGGAUGAACCUCUUUAGAGGUUCGUGGUAGGAGAGCGUUCUAAGGGCGGUGAAGUCAGACCGGAAGGACUGGUGGAGCGCUUAGAAGUGAGAAUGCCGGUAUGAGUAGCGAAAGAAGGGUGAGAAUCCCUUCCACCGAAUAUCUAAGGUUUCCUGAGGAAGGCUCGUCCGCUCAGGGUUAGUCGGGACCUAAGCCGAGGCCGAUAGGCGUAGGCGAUGGACAACAGGUAGAGAUUCCUGUACCAGUGCUAAUUGUUUAACCGAUGGGGUGACACAGAAGGAUAGGGAAUCGCACGAAUGGAAAUGUGCGUCCAAGCAGUGAGUGUGAGAAGUAGGCAAAUCCGCUUCUCGCGAAGCAUGAGCUGUGAUGGGGAAGGAAAUUAAGUACGGAAGUUCCUGAUUUCACGCUGUCAAGAAAAGCCUCUAGGAAGAGUAGUACUGCCCGUACCGCAAACCGACACAGGUAGAUGAGGAGAGAAUCCUAAGGUGAGCGAGAGAACUCUCGUUAAGGAACUCGGCAAAAUGACCCCGUAACUUCGGGAGAAGGGGUGCUCUAUUAGGGUGCAAGCCCGAGAGAGCCGCAGUGAAUAGGCCCAGGCGACUGUUUAGCAAAAACACAGGUCUCUGCAAAACCGUAAGGUGACGUAUAGGGGCUGACGCCUGCCCGGUGCUGGAAGGUUAAGAGGAGUGCUUAGCUUCGGCGAAGGUACGAAUUGAAGCCCCAGUAAACGGCGGCCGUAACUAUAACGGUCCUAAGGUAGCGAAAUUCCUUGUCGGGUAAGUUCCGACCCGCACGAAAGGCGCAACGAUCUGGGCACUGUCUCAACGAGAGACUCGGUGAAAUUAUAGUACCUGUGAAGAUGCAGGUUACCCGCGACAGGACGGAAAGACCCCGUGGAGCUUUACUGCAACCUGAUAUGGAAUGUUUGUACCGCUUGUACAGGAUAGGUAGGAGCCGAAGAGACGUGUGCGCUAGCAUACGAGGAGGCAAUGGUGGGAUACUACCCUGGCUGUAUGACCAUUCUAACCCGCCACGCUUAGCGCGUGGGGAGACAGUGUCAGGUGGGCAGUUUGACUGGGGCGGUCGCCUCCUAAAGAGUAACGGAGGCGCCCAAAGGUUCCCUCAGAAUGGAUGGAAAUCAUUCGCAGAGUGUAAAGGCACAAGGGAGCUUGACUGCGAGACUGACAAGUCGAGCAGGGACGAAAGUCGGGCUUAGUGAUCCGGUGGUUCCGCAUGGAAGGGCCAUCGCUCAACGGAUAAAAGCUACCCCGGGGAUAACAGGCUUAUCUCCCCCAAGAGUCCACAUCGACGGGGAGGUUUGGCACCUCGAUGUCGGCUCGUCGCAUCCUGGGGCUGUAGUCGGUCCCAAGGGUUGGGCUGUUCGCCCAUUAAAGCGGCACGCGAGCUGGGUUCAGAACGUCGUGAGACAGUUCGGUCCCUAUCCGUCGCGGGCGCAGGAAAUUUGAGAGGAGCUGUCCUUAGUACGAGAGGACCGGGAUGGACACACCGCUGGUGUACCAGUUGUUCCGCCAGGAGCAUCGCUGGGUAGCUAUGUGUGGCAGGGAUAAACGCUGAAAGCAUCUAAGCGUGAAGCCCCCCUCAAGAUGAGAUUUCCCAUUUCUUCGGAAAGUAAGAUCCCUGAAAGAUGAUCAGGUAGAUAGGUUUGGAGUGGAAGUGUAGCGAUACAUGGAGCGGACAAAUACUAAUCGAUCGAGGACUUAACCAA
RNAcentral lists this ribosomal RNA (2215 nucleotides) under Listeria monocytogenes. RNAcentral's name for it is "partial 23S ribosomal RNA". It matches the Rfam family "Bacterial large subunit ribosomal RNA", at positions 715 to 2925 of the family's 2925-position model. Lineage: Bacteria; Bacillati; Bacillota; Bacilli; Caryophanales; Listeriaceae. The record is from RNAcentral.